Molecule: ribosomal RNA, 505 nt
Filed under: uncultured archaeon
Lineage: Archaea
Description: bacterial SSU rRNA
Rfam family: Archaeal small subunit ribosomal RNA
Source: RNAcentral
GCAAUGCGCGAAAGCGCGACAAGGGGAUUCCAAGUGCAUGCACUAAGUGUAUGCUUUUCGUGAGUGUAAAAAGCUCACAGAAUAAGGGCUGGGUAAGGCUGGUGCCAGCCGCCGCGGUAAUACCAGCGGCCCUAGUGGUGAUCGUUAUUAUUGGGCCUAAAGCGUCCGUAGCCGGUUCGGUAAAUCUCUGGGUAAAUCGUUGGGCUUAACUCAGCGAAUUCUGGGGAGACUGCCGAACUUGGGACCGGGAGAGGUCGGAGGUACUCCAGGGGUAGGGGUGAAAUCCUGUAAUCCUUGGGGGACCACCGGUGGCGAAAGCGUCCGACCAGAACGGGUCCGACGGUAAGGGACGAAGCCCUGGGUCGCGAACCGGAUUAGAUACCCGGGUAGUCCAGGGUGUAAACGCUGUGCGCUUGGUGUAGGGGGUCCCACGAGGGCAUCCUGUGCCGGAGAGAAGUUGUUAAGCGCACCGCCUGGGGAGUACGGUCGCAAGACUGAAACUUAA